This 423-nucleotide ribosomal RNA is filed under the name uncultured bacterium. RNAcentral's name for it is "bacterial SSU rRNA". It matches the Rfam family "Bacterial small subunit ribosomal RNA", at positions 207 to 622 of the family's 1533-position model. The record is from RNAcentral.
AAGACCUUGCACUUUUGGAGCGGCCGAUGUCUGAUUAGCUAGUUGGUGGGGUAAAGGCCUACCAAAGCUUCGAUCAGUAGCUGGUCUGAGAGGACGGCCAGCCACACUGGGACUGAGACACGGCCCAGACUCCUACGGGAGGCAGCAGUGGGGAAUUUUGGACAAUGGGCGCAAGCCUGAUCCAGCCAUGCCGCGUGAGUGAAGAAGGCCUUCGGGUUGUAAAGCCCUUUCAGCCGGGAAGAAAAGGCUGCGACUAAUAAUCGCAGUUCAUGACGGUACCGGAAGAAGAAGCACCGGCUAACUACGUGCCAGCAGCCGCGGUAAUACGUAGGGUGCGAGCGUUAAUCGGAAUUACUGGGCGUAAAGGGUGCGCAGGCGGUUUUGUAAGUCAGAUGUGAAAUCCCCGGGCUUAACCUGGGAACU